Long non-coding RNA from Sceloporus undulatus (fence lizard), 633 nucleotides. RefSeq lists it as uncharacterized. NCBI's taxonomy places the organism in Eukaryota, Metazoa, Chordata, Lepidosauria, Squamata, Phrynosomatidae. The transcript is spliced from 2 exons. The record is from RefSeq and is a predicted model, not a curated record.
GCCUUUCCCUGAGUUUUCCCCAAAGUGUGUGGUCUCCAUCGCUACCACUAAUUCAUAUAACAAGAAUAUAUUGAUUUUAGGAAAUGGAUCAGCUGCUGAACAGCAUAAUGGUAUUGCUUGAGCAAUCUGAAUGAAAAGAAAAACACUGCAUCUGAAGAAAGACUCAAACAUGAGAAACUGGGGACUAUUACAAGCAGAAACACGGAAGGAAUGGUACCUCCACCUCUGUAUGUUUUCCUCCUUUUUGCCCUGGAGGGAAUGGAAUGGAAUGGAAUAGAAUUGGAGCCAACUGAGGUUUGACAUGAGUUAUCCAUAAGACAUCCACCAUCACUACUGUCCUUGUUCAUUGAUCCAAAUAGUCUUGCAAGUUAUGCAGCACAUGGCUAAGGAGGUGCUCCAACCAUCUGACACAUCAUUGGUGUUUUGGAGCUAUCCUUUCCACUUUCAUUUGACCUGGAAUCAGUGGAGCUGUCCUAUGACUUGGCUUGUUAUUGUUCAGCCAACAGAGUGGACAGUUAAGACCAGCCUUCUUGUUUUCCACUGAAUUCUAUUUUAGCAAUAGAAUGACAUGUCUUUCCCUCUUUCCCCUUUUAAUUCUGUUUAUUCCCUUAAUUAAAUGAUAUUUGAACAAUU